AGAGUUUGAUCAUGGCUCAGAUUGAACGUUGGCGGCAGGNUNNAUACAUGCAAGUCGAACGGUAACAGAUCGCUAGGAUCCCUUCGGGGUGACUUUGAUGCUGACGAGUGGCGGACGGGUGAGUAACGCGUAGGAAUCUACCCAGUAGCGGGGGAUAGCCCGGGGAAACUCGGAUUAAUACCGCAUACGCCCUACGGGGGAAAGGGGGCCUCUUCUUGAAAGCUCUCACUAUUGGAGGAGCCUGCGUUGGAUUAGCUUGUUGGUAGGGUAAAGGCCUACCAAGGCUACGAUCCAUAGCUGGUCUGAGAGGACGAUCAGCCACACUGGAACUGAGACACGGUCCAGACUCCUACGGGAGGCAGCAGUAGGGAAUAUUGCACAAUGGGCGAAAGCCUGAUGCAGCCAUGCCGCGUGUGUGAAGAAGGCCCUUUGGGUUGUAAAGCACUNUANUA
RNAcentral lists this ribosomal RNA (452 nucleotides) under uncultured bacterium. Its description in RNAcentral is "bacterial SSU rRNA". It matches the Rfam family "Bacterial small subunit ribosomal RNA", at positions 8 to 440 of the family's 1533-position model. The record is from RNAcentral.